This 139-nucleotide non-coding RNA is filed under the name Gluconobacter oxydans. The record is from RNAcentral. Lineage: Bacteria; Pseudomonadati; Pseudomonadota; Alphaproteobacteria; Acetobacterales; Acetobacteraceae.
UUGACACGGCACGGCGGAAGAUUACUCUUGCUGACAUCAGGAAUAAGGGGAAACCGGUGAAAAUCCGGUGCGGUCGCGCCACUGUAACGCCUUUGCUGUCGCAAUGCGGAGUCAGACCUCCUUUUUCAAAACAGUUUUU